UGAGGAAUAUUGGUCAAUGGACGAGAGUCUGAACCAGCCAAGUAGCGUGCAGGAUGACGGCCCUAUGGGUUGUAAACUGCUUUUGUUUGGGAAUAAUCGACAUUACGUGUAAUGUUUUGCAUGUACCAUUCGAAUAAGGACCGGCUAAUUCCGUGCCAGCAGCCGCGGUAAUACGGAAGGUCCAGGCGUUAUCCGGAUUUAUUGGGUUUAAAGGGAGUGUAGGCGGUUGGUUAAGCGUGUUGUGAAAUGUAGAUGCUCAACAUCUGACUUGCAGCGCGAACUGGCUGACUUGAGUACGCACAACGUUGGCGGAAUUCGUCGUGUAGCGGUGGAAUGCUUAGAUAUGACGAAGAACUCCGAUUGCGAAGGCAGCUGACGGGAGCGCAACUGACGCUUAAGCUCGAAGGUGCGGGUAUCAAACAGG
This 424-nucleotide ribosomal RNA is filed under the name Verrucomicrobiota bacterium. Its description in RNAcentral is "Verrucomicrobia bacterium partial 16S ribosomal RNA". It matches the Rfam family "Bacterial small subunit ribosomal RNA", at positions 355 to 776 of the family's 1533-position model. Lineage: Bacteria; Pseudomonadati; Verrucomicrobiota. The record is from RNAcentral.